GACGAACGCUGGCGGCGUGCUUAACACAUGCAAGUCGAACGGAAAGGCCCUGCUUUUGUGGGGUGCUCGAGUGGCGAACGGGUGAGUAACACGUGAGUAACCUGCCCUUGACUUUGGGAUAACUUCAGGAAACUGGGGCUAAUACCGGAUAGGAGCUCCUGCUGCAUGGUGGGGGUUGGAAAGUUUCGGCGGUUGGGGAUGGACUCGCGGCUUAUCAGCUUGUUGGUGGGGUAGUGGCUUACCAGGGCUUUGACGGGUAGCCGGCCUGAGAGGGUGACCGGCGACAAUGGGACUGAGAUACGGCCCAGACUGCUACGGGAGGCAGCGGUGGGGAGUAUUGCACAGUGGGGGGAAGCCAGAUGCAGAAACGCCGCGUGCGGGAAGACGGCCUUCGGGUUAUAAACCGAUUUCGACUGUGACGAAGCGUGAGUGACGGUAAUGGGUAAAGAAGCACCGGCUAACUACGUG
RNAcentral lists this ribosomal RNA (468 nucleotides) under uncultured bacterium. RNAcentral's name for it is "partial 16S ribosomal RNA". It matches the Rfam family "Bacterial small subunit ribosomal RNA", at positions 28 to 507 of the family's 1533-position model. The record is from RNAcentral.